UUCGCAAUGCCCGAAAGGGUGACGAAGCUACGCCGCGUGUGGGAAGAAGGCCUUCGGGUUGUAAACCACUGUCGGGAGUUAAGAAAUGCAAGGAUAUGAAUAGUGUCUUUGCUUGACUAAGGCUCCGGAGGAAGCCACGGCUAACUCUGUGCCAGCAGCCGCGGUAAUACAGAGGCGGCAAGCGUUGUUCGGAAUUAUUGGGCGUAAAGAGCACGUAGGCGGCUAUGUAAGUCGGUUGUGAAAGCCUUCCGCUCAACGGGAGAACAGCAUCCGAUACUACAUGGCUUGAGUGCGGGAGGGGAGAGUGGAACUUCUGGUGGAGCGGUGAAAUGCGUAGAUAUCAGAAGGAACGCCGGCGGCGAAAGCGGCUCUCUGGCCCAUAACUGACGCUGAGUGUGCGAAAGCUAGGGGAGCAAACGGGAUUAGAUACCCCGGUAGUCCUAGCCGUAAACGAUGGGCACUAAGUAGAGGGGUUUU
This 477-nucleotide ribosomal RNA is filed under the name uncultured bacterium. RNAcentral's name for it is "bacterial SSU rRNA". It matches the Rfam family "Bacterial small subunit ribosomal RNA", at positions 365 to 832 of the family's 1533-position model. The record is from RNAcentral.